AACCAUGGUAUUCCAGGCUCCUCCCUUCCUGAAAAGAGGAUGAGGACCGGGCUACGCUCUGUUUUGAAACAACUCCUUAACUAGCAAAGCAAACAACUGUAUUGAAGUGGAAUCCCUUGUCUGGUCCUUUAUUUUCUGAUGCUUCCCUGCUGGAAAAGGCUGUUUCAGUGGAGCACUGACAUCCGGCAACCCUUUGAAAGACACCAGGGACCUAAAGAACGUCGAUGCUGUCAGAUUUCCAGACCUGAAUUCCUCCCCAUAAUACCCAGGCUUGCAGCCAAUUUGGCUGCCUUGGAGCAGCUGUAUCUUUAAAAAAUGCUUGAUGUGUAUUCACAAUUCAAAAAACAAAAGAAAAACAUUGCAGAAUGAUUAAGAGAGGCAGGUGUAUGAUGAUGUGGAGCAACAAAGUCACCUGUGAGGACAACUCAAGCAGAGAUGACCUUCCUAAAUUCCAUAUCACUAAUUCCGCUCCUCAGAGAGUGCGUUUUAGCAUUUGUAUCCUAGCAUGAUAUUUUCUUUAUCUAUAUCUGAUCCUAUACACAGCUGCUAUGAUACCACAAAAACAAACCAGCUGGGGAGAUCAGUAGGCUGCUUCUGAGUCCAUUCUUAUGAAGAUUAACUGCUCCUCAGAAAAUGAUCGUUCAUGGAUGGUUUUUGGCAGGAAGCAAAGGGGAGGGAAGAAUUUUCUUUUACCCUAAAUUUUCUCUGCUUGAAAAUUUAGGGUAAAUGUUCUCUUUCACAUAUUGCUGAUCUAUAUGAUACAUAUAUCCUGAAACAUCGCUUGUGCAAUGGGAGUAAAAAAAUACAGCUGAACUCCAUUAAGCUACCACAGUGAGUGUAAUAAGCUUAGGGGCUCUAGAACAUUUUUAUUUAAUAUGAAGAUCGUUAUUCAGCUCAAAAGUCAUGGGAAGUUCGAUCUACAAGGGAAAACUUUUCUACUUACUCUAUUAGGGAAACGAUACUAGCACUUUAGAAAGGAAUCCUAAAGAAAUUUUAUCCAGAAGAGAAUGUGCCAUUUUAGUUAUAACAAGAUAACGGGCAGAACUGUAACAGGACUGUGGAUCCACUUAACAGAAAAAAAUAUGAACGAAAGGCACUAAUCAGCACUAGUGUUGUUUGCAACAUUAAAUUUGGAGGAAUUGCCUCCAAAGGUAUUUCACAUAAGAAUGCAAUCUGAUGGAGAGGGAUUACAUGUUUCGGUUUGGGUUUUUUUUUUUGUUUGUUUGUUUUGUUUUGUUUUUUAAAUACUCCAUGAGCUGACUGCCUUACUUCACUUUUUUUUUCUUUUUUCCCCAGACGUAUUUUAUGCUGAAUAAUAUUUGUAAGGGCUGCUUAGAGACUGAGCUUAUAUGCAUUGAGCAAAUAUAAAGGUCUGACCGCUGUGUACCAGCUGGUAAAUAAAGCAUUCCUCAUAUUUAUUUUUACUUUUUAAAAACUCACUCCAUUUUCCAGGACAGUUUGUGUGACUCAGAUGUUGUGCACUUCUUCACCAGUUCAACAGAUUUAACACCUCACAUACUUCCUUGAGUGGUUGAAACUUUAACGUGAUAAAAUGCCUAGUAUAGAUUAGAGUACAUAUUCCUUCUGUAAUGUGUUCCUCUCAGCACAUCUUCAGAGAGGAUUUUGUAGUACAGAUGUUUCCCAAAGCAACAGAACUAUGAAAGCACCCACCCUCAGUAUGUGUUUACCUUGGAAUAGCCUCUUGAGUGGCUUUUUUCCCUACACAAAUAGACUUCCCCACAGAGACAUAAUUUCCCCACUGUGCAAAUUAGAAAGCUUAUUAAACAGAACUUCCU
Long non-coding RNA from Gallus gallus (chicken), 1796 nucleotides. Lineage: Eukaryota; Metazoa; Chordata; Aves; Galliformes; Phasianidae. The record is from Ensembl.